This 681-nucleotide long non-coding RNA is filed under the name Homo sapiens (human). RNAcentral's name for it is "long intergenic non-protein coding RNA 114". Lineage: Eukaryota; Metazoa; Chordata; Mammalia; Primates; Hominidae. The record is from RNAcentral.
UGAGAGUCAGCGACAUGCAAGCGAAUGAUAUGAGAAGGACUUUAAGAAGCUGCUGAAGAACCCAAGAGGAAGGUGGGAGCUGUUGAUGGUGUGGAAUUAGAGGCCUGAUGGAGUGGAGAGCUUUCCUCCUCAUCACCUGGGUCAGGACCAUGGAGCUCCUUGAGCCUUGAGAUUCCAGGCCCAGGAGCACAUCAUCAUUGUGCUUCUUGGGGCCCAGGCGCAUCUCCUAAGAACUUGUUCUUAGACAUGUUGUGCUCAAACUUGUGGCAUCAUAGCAGUAAUAGUUUACAAUAUACCUACAGUUUCCUGGGCAGAUCAUCGUGUGCAGACCGGCUGCAGAGAGAAGGGAACUGUUUCACUUUCAUCUUCCUGGGCCAUUUCCAGAUAUGAAUUGCAGAGACAUAUUUCAAUAUAUCCUCACCCAAAUAUGCUUUAGAAGUACAUUUCUUUUAAUGUAAUAAGAUUUAUGUCCUUUGUGUUUGUUUAGAGGGUAAAUCUGGAUUUGUAUUUUUAGAAGUUACUUUCACCAAAGAAAUUCGAAAGAAAUAGUGUUUCAGAAAAAUCAAAACAAGCCAUAGAAAUCUAAUAUGUUUCAGAUACUAUAUUGGGCUGCAUGAAGACUAAAUCCAUAAUAUGUAUGAAUAAUGUAUUCUAAAGUAAAUAUCAUAUUUUGUCAAAUUA